UACGGAGGGUGCGAGCGUUGUCCGGAAUCAUUGGGCGUAAAGGGCGCGUAGGUGGCCCGGUCAGUUCGUGGUGAAAGCGCGGGGCUCAACCCUGCGUCGGCCAUGAAUACUGCCGCGGCUGGAGCACUGUAGAGGCAGGCGGAAUUCCGGGUGUAGCGGUGGAAUGCGUAGAGAUCCGGAAGAACACCGGUGGCGAAGGCGGCCUGCUGGGCAGUUGCUGACACUGAAGCGCGACAGCGUGGGGAGCAAACAGG
Molecule: ribosomal RNA, 254 nt
Filed under: uncultured bacterium
Lineage: Bacteria
Description: partial 16S ribosomal RNA
Rfam family: Bacterial small subunit ribosomal RNA
Source: RNAcentral